This 700-nucleotide ribosomal RNA is filed under the name uncultured bacterium. RNAcentral's name for it is "bacterial SSU rRNA". It matches the Rfam family "Bacterial small subunit ribosomal RNA", at positions 54 to 749 of the family's 1533-position model. The record is from RNAcentral.
CAUGCAAGUCGAACGGCAGCACGGGAGCAAUCCUGGUGGCGAGUGGCGAACGGGUGAGUAAUACAUCGGAACGUGCCCAAUCGUGGGGGAUAACGCAGCGAAAGCUGUGCUAAUACCGCAUAAGAUCUAAGGAUGAAAGCAGGGGACCGCAAGGCCUUGCGCGAAUGGAGCGGCCGAUGGCAGAUUAGGUAGUUGGUGAGGUAAAGGCUCACCAAGCCUUCGAUCUGUAGCUGGUCUGAGAGGACGACCAGCCACACUGGGACUGAGACACGGCCCAGACUCCUACGGGAGGCAGCAGUGGGGAAUUUUGGACAAUGGGCGCAAGCCUGAUCCAGCCAUGCCGCGUGCAGGAUGAAGGCCUUCGGGUUGUAAACUGCUUUUGUACGGAACGAAAAGGUUCUUUCUAAUAAAGAGAGCUCAUGACGGUACCGUAAGAAUAAGCACCGGCUAACUACGUGCCAGCAGCCGCGGUAAUACGUAGGGUGCAAGCGUUAAUCGGAAUUACUGGGCGUAAAGCGUGCGCAGGCGGUGAUGUAAGACAGUUGUGAAAUCCCCGGGCUCAACCUGGGAACUGCAUCUGUGACUGCAUCGCUGGAGUACGGUAGAGGGGGAUGGAAUUCCGCGUGUAGCAGUGAAAUGCGUAGAUAUGCGGAGGAACACCGAUGGCGAANGCAAUCCCCUGGACCUGUACUGACGCUCA